CCUACGGGAGGCAGCAGUGAGGAAUAUUGGUCAAUGGACGAGAGUCUGAACCAGCCAAGUAGCGUGAAGGAUGACUGCCCUAUGGGUUGUAAACUUCUUUUAUAUGGGAAUAAAACGUUCCACGUGUGGGAUUUUGUAUGUACCAUAUGAAUAAGGAUCGGCUGACUCCGUGCCAGCAGCCGCGGUAAUACGGAGGAUCCGAGCGUUAUCCGGAUUUAUUGGGUUUAAAGGGAGCGUAGGUGGAUUGUUAAGUCAGUUGUGAAAGUUUGCGGAUCAACCGUAAAAUUGCAGUUGAAACUGGCAGUCUUGAGUACAGUAGAGGUGGGCGGAAUUCGUGGUGUAGCGGUGAAAUGCUUAGAUCUCACGAAGAACUCCGAUUGCGAAGGCAGUUCACUGGACUGCAACUGACACUGAGGCUCGAAAGUGUGGGUAUCAAACAGGAUUAGAUACCCGAGUAGUC
Molecule: ribosomal RNA, 460 nt
Filed under: uncultured bacterium
Lineage: Bacteria
Description: partial 16S ribosomal RNA
Rfam family: Bacterial small subunit ribosomal RNA
Source: RNAcentral